RNAcentral lists this ribosomal RNA (497 nucleotides) under uncultured bacterium. Its description in RNAcentral is "partial 16S ribosomal RNA". It matches the Rfam family "Bacterial small subunit ribosomal RNA", at positions 28 to 507 of the family's 1533-position model. The record is from RNAcentral.
GAUGAACGCUGGCGGCGUGCCUAAUACAUGCGAGUCGAGCGAACGGACGAGAAGCUUGCUUCUCUGAUGUUAGCGGCGGACGGGUGAGUAACACGUGGAUAACCUACCUAUAAGACUGGGAUAACUUCGGGAAACCGGAGCUAAUACCGGAUAAUAUUUUGAACCGCAUGGUUCAAAAGUGAAAGACGGUCUUGCUGUCACUUAUAGAUGGAUCCGCGCUGCAUUAGCUAGUUGGUAAGGUAACGGCUUACCAAGGCAACGAUGCAUAGCCGACCUGAGAGGGUGAUCGGCCACACUGGAACUGAGACACGGUCCAGACUCCUACGGGAGGCAGCAGUAGGGAAUCUUCCGCAAUGGGCGAAAGCCUGACGGAGCAACGCCGCGUGAGUGAUGAAGGUCUUCGGAUCGUAAAACUCUGUUAUUAGGGAAGAGCAUAUGUGUAAGUAACUGUGCACAUCUUGACGGUACCUAAUCAGAAAGCCACGGCUAACUACGUG